RNAcentral lists this ribosomal RNA (489 nucleotides) under uncultured bacterium. RNAcentral describes it as "partial 16S ribosomal RNA". It matches the Rfam family "Bacterial small subunit ribosomal RNA", at positions 28 to 507 of the family's 1533-position model. The record is from RNAcentral.
GAUGAACGCUAGCUACAGGCUUAACACAUGCAAGUCGAGGGGCAGCAUCAUUGAAGCUUGCUUUAUUCUAUGGCUCCCGCCGCACGGGUGAGUAACACGUAUCUCCCCUUCCGAUAACUCUGGGAUAUCCUUUUGCAAGAAAGAUUCUUAUCCGCUAUUAUAGUAUUUCCGCAUGUUUUCACUAUUUAAGAACUUUGGUUAUCGUUGGGGAUGCGUUCUAUUAGAUAGUUGGCGGGGUAACGGCCCACCAAGGCAACGAUGAGUAGGGGUUCUGAGAGGAAGGUCCCCCACAUUGGAACGGAGACACGGUCCAAACUCCUACGGGAGGCAGCAGUGAGGAAUAUUGGUCAAUGGACGAGAGUCUGAACCAGCCAAGUAGCGUGAAGGAAGACGGCCCUAUGGGUUGUAAACUUCUUUUAUACGGGAAUAAAGUGGAGUAUGCAUAAUCCUUUGUAUGUACCGUAUGAAUAAGGAUCGGCUAACUCCGUG